GACAUUUGGUAGAGACUGUUGAAGCCAGCUGGUCCCAGCAGACCCCAGAAGGCAGCCACAUUCGCUGGUGUGGGGGCAAGGUCAUUAAGGGUGAAUCCUGGUGCCAGAUGUCU
This is a ribosomal RNA of Panthera pardus (leopard), 113 nucleotides long. The record is from Ensembl. Lineage: Eukaryota; Metazoa; Chordata; Mammalia; Carnivora; Felidae.